This 298-nucleotide signal recognition particle RNA is filed under the name Saimiri boliviensis boliviensis (Bolivian squirrel monkey). RNAcentral's name for it is "Metazoan signal recognition particle RNA (ENSSBOG00000008369.1)". It matches the Rfam family "Metazoan signal recognition particle RNA". From Rfam's summary of the family: The signal recognition particle (SRP) is a universally conserved ribonucleoprotein. It is involved in the co-translational targeting of proteins to membranes. The eukaryotic SRP consists of a 300-nucleotide 7S RNA and six proteins: SRPs 72, 68, 54, 19, 14, and 9. Lineage: Eukaryota; Metazoa; Chordata; Mammalia; Primates; Cebidae. The record is from RNAcentral.
GCUGGGCGUGGUGGCAUGUGCCUGUAGUCCCAGCUACUCAGAAGGCUGAGGUGGGAGGAUCACUUGAGCUCAGGAGUUCUGGGCUGUAGUACGCUAUGCGGAUCGAGUGUCCACACUAAGUUCGGCAUCAAUAUGGUGACCUCUCGGGAGCAGGGAACCAGCAGGUGACCUAAGGAGGGUGAACUGGCCCAGGUCGGAAAUGGAGCAGGUCAAAACUCCCGUGCUGAUUGGUAGUGGGAUCACGCCUGUGAAUAACCACUGCAUGCCAGCCUGGGUAACAUAGUGAGACCCUGUCUCU